RNAcentral lists this small nuclear RNA (120 nucleotides) under Crocodylus porosus (Australian saltwater crocodile). Its description in RNAcentral is "U2 spliceosomal RNA (ENSCPRG00005012550.1)". It matches the Rfam family "U2 spliceosomal RNA", at positions 67 to 185 of the family's 192-position model. From Rfam's summary of the family: U2 is a small nuclear RNA (snRNA) component of the spliceosome (involved in pre-mRNA splicing). Complementary binding between U2 snRNA (in an area lying towards the 5' end but 3' to hairpin I) and the branchpoint sequence (BPS) of the intron results the bulging out of an unpaired adenosine, on the BPS, which initiates a nucleophilic attack at the intronic 5' splice site, thus starting the first of two transesterification reactions that mediate splicing. The record is from RNAcentral. Lineage: Eukaryota; Metazoa; Chordata; Crocodylia; Crocodylidae.
UGUCCUCCAUAGGAGGUCUAUAUUGAGCAGAUUUUUUUUUGGUGUUGGGUGGUGGAACUGGAGCUUGCUCCAUCCACUCCAUGCAUUGACCUGGUAUUGCAGUGCUUCCAGGACUGGUGC